ACGUUUUUGUCGAAAGUCAUUGAUGAAGAAGGCUUCAGCUGAUUCUGGUGGUGGAAGAAUCAACCAGCUCGUCUUCUUAGAAGAAUGAAUGCAGCGGAAUUAUGAUGAUGAUCGGAGGAUGCAGUAACGUGUUGAAGCCACUCUAAAAAGGCGUUCGGUGGCUGGAAUGGAGAAGAUGUAAUGAUUUGGUGAUGAAGAUAAGGAUGAAACAGUGGUUGGUGAUGGAGAUUAUGAAGCACACUUUCAAAUUGUGGUGUUGUGAAAAUUAGGAAGAGAAAUGGAGGCAGAGAAUUGGUGUUGAAAUGUAAUGCGUAUGGGUGGAGAUAUGCUAGGAAUGGAAGCCUAGCUAGGGAGAGAGGCUAGAGGAAACUCUCAAGCUCUCUCUCGGUGACCUUCAACAAGAAGAAUGUUCUGGACAAAAUCAACAGAAUUCAAUUCUUCAUUCAAAUCAAAGGUGUCCACAAUUUUGGAGAAGAGUGGGAUUUAUAGUAGCACCCAAGCUCUCUCACGUGAAUACAAGCAAUGCUGAUGAUCAACAGCGUGGAAUGGAUCAGCUGCCACGUGUUGGAGGUGUGGGAAGCGUGCAACAAGGCCUGGGUUGCCAGCUAUAGGCGUCACAUGUAAGGUGAUAUUUCAGUCGCUGGGCCUAAACCCUCUUCCGCUGGGCGCCAGAUUUCCUUCUUCUUCAGCCAAGUUGUUGGGUAGUGAUUCAAGUGGGCUUCCUAGAGUACCUUGCUAGCCAAUUGUAUAAUGCACCCUAGUGGAGAUUUUUUUCUCCACUCUUGAAGUUUCCUUGCUUCUUGAUUCAUCAAGCUUCUUUGGCUAGAUUCAUGAUUUCCUAGCUUUAUUAAACCAUACAAAACACAUACAACUAUAUUAAAGAAAAUCCUUCUAAGACUUAGAGAAAGAAAGUCAAGAAGAAGUCUUUCUUUACUUCCCUUUCUUAGCCUUAGCUUUAGUUAGUAUUCCUUUGAAUGGAAUGCCCUAAAUGGGUUUCCAUCAUAC
Molecule: long non-coding RNA, 1005 nt
Filed under: Vigna radiata
Lineage: Eukaryota; Viridiplantae; Streptophyta; Magnoliopsida; Fabales; Fabaceae
Description: long non-coding RNA (VRAD_LNC013566)
Source: RNAcentral